RNAcentral lists this ribosomal RNA (1521 nucleotides) under uncultured Planctomycetales bacterium. RNAcentral's name for it is "16S ribosomal RNA". It matches the Rfam family "Bacterial small subunit ribosomal RNA". The record is from RNAcentral. Lineage: Bacteria; Pseudomonadati; Planctomycetota; Planctomycetia; Planctomycetales.
CAUGCAAGUCGAACGAGGAUAUACCUUUCGGGGUAUAAACCGAGUGGCGCAAGGGUGAGUAAUGCAUAGAUUACCUGCCUCUAGGAUAAGGACAACUUUGUGAAAACGAAGCUAAUACUUAAUAAUACAAGAGAGAAUAAUUCUUUUUUGUCAAUGGGAGGGUAGCAAUACCUUUUGCCUAGAGAGGGGUUUAUGUCCUAUCAGCUUGUUGGUGGGGUAAUGGCCUACCAAGGCGAAGACGGGUAGCCGGUCUUAGAGGAUGGUCGGCCACACUGGGACUGAGACACUGCCCAGACUUCUACGGAAGGCUGCAGUCGAGAAUCUUUCGCAAUGCCCGAAAGGGUGACGAAGCGACGCCGCGUGAGUGAGGAAGGCCUUCGGGUUGUAAAGCUCUGUCAGGUGUUAAGAAAUAUAAGUGUGCUAAUACCACAUUUAUUUGACAAAGGCGCCAAAGGAAGCCACGGCUAACUCUGUGCCAGCAGCCGCGGUAAUACAGAGGUGGCAAGCGUUGUUCGGAAUUAUUGGGCGUAAAGAGCACGUAGGUGGGUUCGUAAGUCAGAUGUGAAAGCCUUCUGUUCAACGGAAGAAUUGCAUCUGAAACUGCGAGUCUUGAGUGUAGGAGGGGAGAAUGGAACUUCUGGUGGAGCGGUGAAAUGCGUAGAUAUCAGAAGGAACGCCGGCGGCGAAAGCGAUUCUCUGGCCUAUUACUGACACUCAGUGUGCGAAAGCUAGGGGAGCAAGCGGGAUUAGAUACCCCGGUAGUCCUAGCUGUAAACGAUGGGCACUAAGUAGAGGGAAUUACCGAUGUUCUCUCUGCCGUAGCUAACGCAUUAAGUGCCCCGCCUGGGGAGUACGGCCGCAAGGCUAAAACUCAAAAGAAUUGACGGGGGCUCGCACAAGCGGUGGAGCAUGUGGCUUAAUUCGAUGCAACGCGAAAAACCUUACCGGGGCUUGACAUGGUAGAAGUAGGAACCCGAAAGGGUAACGAACGGUAUCCAGUCCGUAGCUAUCACAGGUGUUGCAUGGCUGUCGUCAGCUCGUGUCGUGAGACGUUGGGUUAAGUCCCCUAACGAGCGAAACCCUUGUUUUUAGUUACCAGCGGGUUAUGCCGGGUACUCUAGAAAGACUGCCGUCGUCAAGACGGAGGAAGGUGGGGAUGACGUCAAGUCAUCAUGGCCCUUAUGCCCCGGGCUGCACACGUGCUACAAUGGUCGGUACAAACGGAAGCGAAGCCGAGAGGUGGAGCGAAUCCUAAAAAGCCGAUCUCAGUUCGGAUUGGAGGCUGAAAUUCGCCUCCAUGGAGUUGGAAUCGCUAGUAAUCGCGGAUCAGCAUUGCCGCGGUGAAUAUGUUCCCGAGCCUUGUACACACCGCCCGUCAAGCCACCCAAGCAGGAUGCACCCGAAAACAUUAUAUCUAACCAGGUUUACCUGGAGGAAAGUGUUGAAGGAGUGUUUUGUGAGGAGGACUAAGUCGUAACAAGGUAGUCGUAGGAGAACCUGCGGCUGGAUCACCUCCUUUCU